CUUGGCAAUUACACUAUUUUCUCCAUCUCUUUUUCUCUCGUCUCUCUCUUUCUCUCCUUCCCUCUUCUCUCUUCCCUCUUCUCAAACCCUAAAAAUGUGAACAAAAAAAGUCACAAAUUCCCAUCCCGCCGUCGUAAACCCAAAAAUCACAAAUUCCCAUCUCCUUUACUUUUUCAGAAAUCUUUCUUCGUAAUAUCAAAACAUUGCCUUGAAAACUCAUAAUCUCUCUUUCAUUUCUCCCUCUUUCUCAUCUACCUGUGCGUUUUUCAUGGAGGGUUGCAGCAGCGAGUUUGAUGGUCGGAUUCGUAGAGUGGAAGCCAUAAUCAGUUCAGUGGUACGAGCGACGGUCGGACAAAUGUACGGUGGUUGGUUUGCGUUUUUUUUCACUUCUUUUCCUUCCUAUUUCGUUUUAUGGAUUUGGUUUGAUAUAUGUUGUUGUUAAUGAGUUGUGUUCUUAAAUGUGUCUCAUAGUUGCCCAAUAUUUUGGAUCUAUGAUUUUUGAGGUGUGAGUUUUAAAGAGAGAGAAGCGAUUGAUGAUGCAAUUUGACAUGUAUAUUCACCAGAUCUGAGAUUUAGUUGGGUAUUCAUGUUGUUCAGAAGGUUAAUCUUAUUCGUAUCACUAUGGAUUGGGAGGUGUUAUUUCAUAGAAACACAAGUUCUAUGGGUCAUAUUUUCGUUCAGCUUCAGCAAAAAGAAAAAGAAAGGAAGGCUUUAAAGCUACUUGCAGUGAUAUGAAACAAGGAUCCAGAGUGUUUCUUCUUCUGUCCACAGGAUCUGGCAGAAGUGAAAUCCUUUUUCAACUUAACAGUCUCAAGAAUUAGCGUCCAUCAGUUGUAGUGAAGGUAUAUAUUUAUGUGUAUGUUUGUAUAUGUUUUACUUUCUUGAUAGUUGAUACACUGUUGGUUUUGUCUGACUUUGUAUUUUAUAUUAAGAUGGAAAAACACCUCUUUUUCUUCUUUGCCGAGAGUUAAAAUUGUCAAAGAGUUGUCAUAGAAAUAAAACUAAAAUGAAAAAGUUGAGACUUACAAAGAAAAGCAUCACACGGGAUAAUGGUGUUGUAAAAGCAUCACAGGGGAUAAUGGUGUUGUAAAAGUAAGGUGCACUGGGGUUAGUGAAACCAGGAGGACUUUUAAUUUUUGUAAUUUUUAUGUAGUUUUUUGUGUACACUUUCAAUGAACCCCUUCAACUUUGGCUUUACAAAAACAUGACAUGUACUGACAAGUUUAUUCGGUGCUUGUGAUCUUUUUAUUGUGUUUUUAUGUUGUUUGUCUUCUCUUUUGGUUGUUUGAUAUGUUUUUUGUUCAAUACUAACAUAGGUUUUCAAAAGAAACUUUGGACAAUAAUUAUGAUGACCUAUCCUCUCAAGAUGCAUUUGAAUAUGACAGUAUAGAUUAUAUUGGUUAUAACAGUGACGAAGACACAUAUUCUUUUGCAUCACUGUAUAAUGAAAGAGAUGGUGAGUGAACUCAACUCUAUGCAAUAUAGAAGACUUGAUUAUCCCUGUGUGCGAUUCUUCUUCACUUUUUCUCCUACAGUUGUUUGUCUUUGUAUUAGUUCUUUUUUGUCACUCUUAUUUUGCAUUCUUCAUAUGUAUUGUUACCGGUUCAUCAGAUAUUGAAGAGAACAAGAUUGAUGGCAUUUUGAAAGGAUUGUGUUUGCUGUAUUGCAUAAUUCGGCUCAGGAAAAUUUUACUCAAUUUAAAAACUAUUUGGUUUGCUUGCAUUUGGAAUAUAUAGAUAGGUCAGAACGAGGAGCUGUUCUGUAGCGGUUAGAGUUGUGCCUAUGUGUCUUUCAAAAUGGAAAUCGUAGCGGUUUGAUUGUUAGAUGUUUCUUUGGUGUUGUGUAAGUAGCUUGGAUUUAAUUGAUUUUGGUGCUGGUGAGGUUUUGGUAAUUUGUUACAGGGCUGAUUGGUGGGUUCAAAGUUGGGAGAACUUAGAAUUCUGUUCUGGUUGGCUCACAUGCAUUAUUGUAAUUUCAGAAAAUACUCUGCCUCUAGUAUAAUUAAGAAAGGGGAGUAACAAAAGAGUUUGAUUUUGUGUUAAAUAUGUUGUCUUUGUAUACACUUGGAAUAUUGAUUGUCCCUUUAUAUUUAUAUGACAGGACAAUAAUUAUACACUAAUUA
Long non-coding RNA from Vicia villosa (hairy vetch), 2122 nucleotides. RefSeq lists it as uncharacterized. The transcript has 3 exons. The record is from RefSeq and is a predicted model, not a curated record. Lineage: Eukaryota; Viridiplantae; Streptophyta; Magnoliopsida; Fabales; Fabaceae.